AGCGCUGCUGAGGCCUAACACAUGCAAGUCGAACGGUAACAGGAAGAAGCUUUCUUCUUUGCUGACGAGUGGCGGACGGGUGAGUAAUGUCUGGGAAACUGCCUGAUGGAGGGGGAUAACUACUGGAAACGGUAGCUAAUACCGCAUAACGUCGCAAGACCAAAGAGGGGGACCUUCGGGCCUCCUGCCAUCGGAUGUGCCCAGAUGGGAUUAGCUAGUAGGUGGGGUAACGGCUCACCUAGGCGACGAUCCCUAGCUGGUCUGAGAGGAUGACCAGCCACACUGGAACUGAGACACGGUCCAGACUCCUACGGGAGGCAGCAGUGGGGAAUAUUGCACAAUGGGCGCAAGCCUGAUGCAGCCAUGCCGCGUGUAUGAAGAAGGCCUUCGGGUUGUAAAGUACUUUCAGCGGGGAGGAAGGGAGUAAAGUUAAUACCUUUGCUCAUUGACGUUACCCGCAGAAGAAGCACCGGCUAACUCCGUGCCAGCAGCCGCGGUAAUACGGAGGGUGCAAGCGUUAAUCGGAAUUACUGGGCGUAAAGCGCACGCAGGCGGUUUGUUAAGUCAGAUGUGAAAUCCCCGGGCUCAACCUGGGAACUGCAUCUGAUACUGGCAAGCUUGAGUCUCGUAGAGGGGGGUAGAAUUCCAGGUGUAGCGGUGAAAUGCGUAGAGAUCUGGAGGAAUACCGGUGGCGAAGGCGGCCCCCUGAACGAAGACUGACGCUCAGGUGCGAAAGCGUGGGGAGCAAACAGGAUUAUAUACGCUGAUAGUCCACACCGUAAACGAUGUCGACUUGUAGGUUGUGCCCAUUGAGGCCUGGCUUCCGGAGUAAACGCGCUAAGUCGACCGACCUGGGGGAGUACGGCCGCUAUGUUUAUAACCUCGA
This 886-nucleotide ribosomal RNA is filed under the name uncultured bacterium. RNAcentral's name for it is "bacterial SSU rRNA". It matches the Rfam family "Bacterial small subunit ribosomal RNA", at positions 32 to 904 of the family's 1533-position model. The record is from RNAcentral.